This 164-nucleotide ribosomal RNA is filed under the name uncultured bacterium. Its description in RNAcentral is "partial 16S rRNA". It matches the Rfam family "Bacterial small subunit ribosomal RNA", at positions 355 to 511 of the family's 1533-position model. The record is from RNAcentral.
UGGGGAAUCUUCCACAAUGGACGAAAGUCUGAUGGAGCAACGCCGCGUGAGUGAAGAAGGGUUUCGGCUCGUAAAACACUGUUGUAAGAGAAGAAUGACAUUGAGAGUAACUGUUCAAUGUGUGACGGUAUCUUACCAGAAAGGAACGGCUAAAUACGUGCCAG